CUGCAGAGAGUGUGGCCCCCCUUCGUGGUCGGUAGUUACAGGUGGUGCAUGGCUGUCGUCAGCUCGUGUCGUGAGAUGUUGGGUUAAGUCCCGCAACGAACGCAACCCUAUCUUAUGUUGCCAGCACGUUAUGGUGGGGACUCGUAAGAGACUGCCGGGGUCAACUCGGAGGAAGGUGGGGACGACGUCAAGUCAUCAUGCCCCUUAUGUCCAGGGCUUCACACAUGCUACAAUGGCCAGUACAGAGGGCUGCGAGACCGUGAGGUGGAGCGAAUCCCUUAAAGCUGGUCUCAGUUCGGAUCGGGGUCUGCAACUCGACCCCGUGAAGUCGGAGUCGCUAGUAAUCGCAGAUCAGCAACGCUGCGGUGAAUACGUUCCCGGGCCUU
This 386-nucleotide ribosomal RNA is filed under the name uncultured Rhodococcus sp. RNAcentral's name for it is "bacterial SSU rRNA". It matches the Rfam family "Bacterial small subunit ribosomal RNA", at positions 998 to 1382 of the family's 1533-position model. Lineage: Bacteria; Bacillati; Actinomycetota; Actinomycetes; Mycobacteriales; Nocardiaceae. The record is from RNAcentral.